RNAcentral lists this ribosomal RNA (492 nucleotides) under uncultured bacterium. RNAcentral describes it as "partial 16S ribosomal RNA". It matches the Rfam family "Bacterial small subunit ribosomal RNA", at positions 28 to 507 of the family's 1533-position model. The record is from RNAcentral.
GAUGAACGCUAGCUACAGGCUUAACACAUGCAAGUCGAGGGGAAACGACAUCGAAAGCUUGCUUUUGAUGGGCGUCGACCGGCGCACGGGUGAGUAACGCGUAUCCAACCUGCCCAUCACUUGGGAAUAACCUUGCGAAAGUAAGACUAAUACCCAAUGAUAUCCCACGAAGGCAUCGGAAUGGGAUUAAAGAUUUAUCGGUGAUGGAUGGGGAUGCGUCUGAUUAGCUUGUUGGCGGGGUAACGGCCCACCAAGGCAACGAUCAGUAGGGGUUCUGAGAGGAAGGUCCCCCACAUUGGAACUGAGACACGGUCCAAACUCCUACGGGAGGCAGCAGUGAGGAAUAUUGGUCAAUGGGCGAGAGCCUGAACCAGCCAAGUAGCGUGCAGGAAGACGGCCCUAUGGGUUGUAAACUGCUUUUAUAAGGGAAUAAAGUGGGUCACGUGUGACUUUUUGCAUGUACCUUAUGAAUAAGGGCCGGCUAAUUCCGUG